RNAcentral lists this long non-coding RNA (285 nucleotides) under Mytilus galloprovincialis (Mediterranean mussel). The record is from RNAcentral. Lineage: Eukaryota; Metazoa; Mollusca; Bivalvia; Mytilida; Mytilidae.
UAAUAAUGUUUAUCGGUUUACUGAUAAUACAGGUUUAAUAAAAGUUAAAAUUCCGCAUUUAUUUUCGAGUCCCCCCUUUUGUCUUUGCAUUCUGAACUUUGACCGUGUCUGUCACGUGACGUUACCGUAUUGUGACGUCACUUCUCAAUUUUCUAACGUUUGAAUGGGAAGCUUUUUCAAUCCCACCCACCGACCCCGACAUUCUCCUAUUUUGGAUUAUUUUUUCUGCUGUUGUUUUGAUGGUUUUUUAGGUAUAUGCUUAGUGAGAUUAGGAAGACCGGGAAC